UCGUUUGUCGGCACAUGGUAA
This 21-nucleotide microRNA is filed under the name Picea abies (Norway spruce). Its description in RNAcentral is "pab-miR11417". The record is from miRBase by way of RNAcentral. Lineage: Eukaryota; Viridiplantae; Streptophyta; Pinopsida; Pinales; Pinaceae.